RNAcentral lists this ribosomal RNA (252 nucleotides) under Parabacteroides distasonis str. 3999B T(B) 6. Its description in RNAcentral is "partial 16S ribosomal RNA". It matches the Rfam family "Bacterial small subunit ribosomal RNA", at positions 8 to 256 of the family's 1533-position model. Lineage: Bacteria; Pseudomonadati; Bacteroidota; Bacteroidia; Bacteroidales; Tannerellaceae. The record is from RNAcentral.
AGAGUUUGAUCCUGGCUCAGGAUGAACGCUAGCGACAGGCUUAACACAUGCAAGUCGAGGGGCAGCACAGGUAGCAAUACCGGGUGGCGACCGGCGCACGGGUGAGUAACGCGUAUGCAACUUGCCUAUCAGAGGGGGAUAACCCGGCGAAAGUCGGACUAAUACCGCAUGAAGCAGGGGCCCCGCAUGGGGAUAUUUGCUAAAGAUUCAUCGCUGAUAGAUAGGCAUGCGUUCCAUUAGGCAGUUGGCGGG